RNAcentral lists this ribosomal RNA (514 nucleotides) under uncultured bacterium. RNAcentral describes it as "bacterial SSU rRNA". It matches the Rfam family "Bacterial small subunit ribosomal RNA", at positions 29 to 520 of the family's 1533-position model. The record is from RNAcentral.
AGCGAACGUUAGCGGCGGGCCUAACACAUGCAAGUCGAACGCGAAAGGUCUUCGGACUGAGUAGAGUGGCGCACGGGUGAGUAACACGUAGGUAAUCUACCCUUUGGCGGGGGAUAACGUUCCGAAAGGAGCGCUAAUACCGCAUAAGACCACGUGGUCUCCGGACCGAGUGGGAAAAGGUGGCCUCUUCUUGAAAGCUACCACCGAAGGAUGAGCCUGCGUCCCAUCAGCUAGUUGGUAAGGUAAUGGCUUACCAAGGCGAAGACGGGUAGCUGGUUUGAGAGAAUGAUCAGCCACACUGGCACUGGAACACGGGCCAGACUCCUACGGGAGGCAGCAGUGAGGAAUAUUGGGCAAUGGGCGAAAGCCUGACCCAGCCACGCCGCGUGAGUGAUGAAGGCCCUCGGGUCGUAAAGCUCUGUGGAGAGGGACGAAAACCCUGGUUUCAAAUAGGCUCCAGGCUUGACGGUACCUCUUUAGCAAGCACCGGCUAACUCUGUGCCAGCAGCCGCGG